Molecule: ribosomal RNA, 471 nt
Filed under: Triticum aestivum (bread wheat)
Lineage: Eukaryota; Viridiplantae; Streptophyta; Magnoliopsida; Poales; Poaceae
Description: partial small subunit ribosomal RNA
Source: RNAcentral
GUGGGCUUGGCCACGAUCGAGCGCGCGCGCAAGAGGCAAGCUGCUGGAAUCACAUGGCUCCGGGCCGGAGACACCAAAACUGCAUUCUUCCAGGCCAAGAUCAACGCGAGAUGGAGGAAGAAUUUCAUCCACUCUUUGUAGACAGAUUCGCGCACGGCAACCUCGCAUGAAGAUAAAGCAUCCAUCACCCACGAUCACUUCGUCAACCUACUGGGCACCAAGCGGGACCGCGGCUAUGCCAUAAACUGGGACGCGAUCGACCUGCCUUCCGUCAGCAAUGCUGGCUUGGAUAACCCAUUCACAAAACCAGAGUUAUGGGUUCUUGUUAUCGCUUCGCUUGCUGAUAAGGCACCAGGCCCCGACGGGUUCUCGGGCAACUUCUUACGUACCUGCUGGAUCACCAUUAAGCAUGAUAUCAUGGCGGGGUUUGAUCACUUCUACAGCCUGGCGGGGGCAACUUCUCAGCCUUGA